GGUCCCAUCGUCUAGUGGCCCAGGACGCCGGCCUCUCACGCCGGAAACACGGGUUCGAUUCCCGUUGGGACUACCA
RNAcentral lists this transfer RNA (76 nucleotides) under bacterium BMS3Abin07. RNAcentral describes it as "tRNA-Glu". It matches the Rfam family "tRNA". Rfam says of the family: Transfer RNA (tRNA) molecules are approximately 80 nucleotides in length. Their secondary structure includes four short double-helical elements and three loops (D, anti-codon, and T loops). RNAcentral also lists the same sequence under 1 other name. The record is from RNAcentral.